Molecule: long non-coding RNA, 317 nt
Organism: Rhipicephalus sanguineus (brown dog tick)
Lineage: Eukaryota; Metazoa; Arthropoda; Arachnida; Ixodida; Ixodidae
Exons: 3
Source: RefSeq, a predicted model, not a curated record
UAAUAUCGCUCGCAGGACUCCUGCCGCCCCUACUCGGAACAAACCGAUGUUCCGACCAUUCGAGCUUCGUCCCUACGUUUGCGUCGCCGAGCAAAGAUGACCAAUUAUUGCUGCCCAGUUUUGUUGGUGCUGAAGAGAUUGAUGUGGCGCAGAGAAAUAUGAGAAGUGUUGAAUGCCAGACAGAGCUAACAACUGCAGAUCUUGCCCUGCUGGAGGACAUGCUGCAUCCGAGGUGUUCUACACCACUGCCCAUCGAUGACUCCUGUGAUAAAUCCUAUGGAUUUGUAGAUAAUUCACAGGACUGUACUUAUGAGCCU